GAUGAACGCUGGCGGCGUGCCUAAUACAUGCAAGUCGAGCGAACAGACGAGGAGCUUGCUCCUCUGACGUUAGCGGCGGACGGGUGAGUAACACGUGGAUAACCUACCUAGAAGACUGGGAUAACUUCGGGAAACCGGAGCUAAUACCGGAUAAUAUAGUGAACCGCAUGGUUCAAUAGUGAAAGACGGUUUUGCUGUCACUUAUAGAGGGAUCCGCGCCGCAUUAGCUAGUUGGUAAGGUAACGGCUUACCAAGGCGACGAUGCGUAGCCGACCUGAGAGGGUGAUCGGCCACACUGGAACUGAGACACGGUCCAGACUCCUACGGGAGGCAGCAGUAGGGAAUCUUCCGCAAUGGGCGAAAGCCUGACGGAGCAACGCCGCGUGAGUGAUGAAGGUCUUCGGAUCGUAAAACUCUGUUAUUAGGGAAGAACAAAUGUGUAAGUAACUAUGCACGUCUUGACGGUACCUAAUCAGAAAGCCACGGCUAACUACGUG
This 497-nucleotide ribosomal RNA is filed under the name uncultured bacterium. RNAcentral describes it as "partial 16S ribosomal RNA". It matches the Rfam family "Bacterial small subunit ribosomal RNA", at positions 28 to 507 of the family's 1533-position model. The record is from RNAcentral.